RNAcentral lists this transfer RNA (74 nucleotides) under Acanthosepion esculentum (golden cuttlefish). RNAcentral's name for it is "Sepia esculenta (golden cuttlefish) tRNA-Glu". Lineage: Eukaryota; Metazoa; Mollusca; Cephalopoda; Sepiida; Sepiidae. The record is from RNAcentral.
GUUCUUAUAGUGUAGUUUAGUAGCACAUUAGAUUUUCAGUCUUUUAGGAUAUAAAGUAUUUAAUAUUAAGAAUA